ACAGCAUACCGUAAAGAUAUACGCUAUUGCUACAUGAAUUAACGUAUAUCACCACUGAUCUUACUGACUGUUUGUUAAUGUGCAAAAACAAAAUGUGAACACGUUCUAAAUCACCUGUUUCGAUUUGGCAACGUGAUAGUUCGUGUGACGUCACCUAUAUUCGUGAGUCUGUUCCAUGAAACUACUUCCUGUAGCAUAAUGGCUUAAAUCAGCCUUGUAUGGCUACAAAAGUGCAUCUAGUCCAUCUAAAUGCAUUGUAUAUUACUACACAGCCGUGACUCGAAGUAAAAUAACUUCUGUCACUGGUGGAGUGCAAUUUCCCCACGUUCCACCGACCGUAUCCUCGUGCGAGAGACUACUUCCGGUAUGACGUCACUUUGUUGACAGUUUGAUCGGUUGUAGAUUUUCUGAUACGAGAGUGAAAGCCGGUUCGAGCCGAGAUAUACUGCCUUUGAAACAAUGUGAUACAUUGUGAUACUGACACACAUCAGAUUAACAUAACAACAUGUCCAGCCUGUCUGGACUGCAGCACCAUGGUGGAUGAGGAACACAGCCUAGCAAGCCACAAGUGAUCACGCCUCACAGGAAACAAGUACAACAACGGUCAACCUUUCACACAGCUUCUCCAGCAGUCAACAGGUGCCCUUUGCUGUAUCCCGACUGAAUGCUGAUGAUCUGUGCAGGCAGCAGCAGCAACAACAACAGCGAACAGCAAGCCAGCAUAAGUACAUUAGUAUCAAAUAUAUACAACAUGAAUGACUACAUAUAUCAAACAGAUUAAAAAGGUAUAAAGUGUACCUUGAUCGUUUAAAAAAGUUGAUCUGUUUAUCUCCAGCCAGAGAAUUUGAUUGCACGAUUUAAUCAUCAGCGUAACAUGAACCUCUCCCCAAACUACAGUCGGAGAUGAAGCCGAAAGACAGCCCUUUGAUGUUGCAGCAUUAAUAUCCAAUCUGACCACCAACACAUCGUAAACAGCACACAAUGUAAAUGCAUUGUCAGCAGUCUUCUAAUAUCUGUUACCAAAGAGCUGCCUUUCAAACAUCAGCAAGAUUAAACCUUACUCCAUCAUUCAAAUCUACAUCAAGAGGCAACUUUCUUCAUUCAAUCCUCUUUUGUCCAUUAUCAAUACGUUUCCUCGACAACUGUGUGACUCUUGUAUACAUACAUUCUUUCUAGAAAACUACAGAACACAUUUAUAUCAAAUCGCAUCCUUCUUCGGUCUUGCUCAGGGUCCAUGAUGUUGCGGUCAGCAUUUGAAGCAGGUGUUAUACAUGAUGUUGAUGAAGCUGGGUGGGUGAUGUGUUGCAGGGUUAACUUAAUGCAGUGUUGGACUCCGAUGGGUAAUCUCACCGCAUGAAGUAAUGACACCAUCAACCCUACCCUACAUAGAUCUGACUGACCUAGUUACUAGAUGAAGCAGAUGGACACUGGACAGCAAUGGCGUGACACAGCAUCAUGGACCGUGGACUGUAGUGGGAGAGGUUGAAGCUGCUUCAGGCAGAUACUGCCCAGUGGAAGGUAUCAUCAGUCAUCUCCUGUACCCACAAGGUCACAAGAUGUCAUUUCCGGUCUCUCAAAAGUCAUAAAGGUGUCAUCUAUGACGUCACUUCCGGUAUUGGUUCCGAUCGUGACGUCACUUAUUCCACUUGUGAUGUCACUUCAAGUCAAUAGGAAAGCCCGAAGUGAUUCAGGUUUUUAGAAGUUACCACUUUGGUGAAACCCACAAGCUCGGAUGUGCUGCUUACAAAUCUAGUAAACAUUACCAGGGCGAACCAGGAUUCAAACCCACGGCAAACUGCGGCACCUUAGACGACUGGGCACCCCGUGCCCCCACAGCACCAUGAUGUGACAGACACUGACAGCAUAUACUUACGCAUACACAUUAUGCUGCAGGUUUGGUGUUCCUGGCUCGGAGACCUGCUGUUGACUGGCUGGGGUACUGCCAUCUGACACACUUGGGGACAGCGACUCGUUAGACGUACUGUGGCGCCGAUGUUUACCAUCAGCCUCACCUAGAUAAUUCUGGAACACAUAACACAAACACUCCUUUCAUCACUCAAUAUGUCCACACUACCUAGUAAGUUGAAUGCUGACUUUCGUGGAACCUCGAUAGCCUGGAAAUAAUUUAGGGACAAUGUUGAACAUGAAACUCAUUAUUGCCGGACACUUGUUUAUCCAAGCCACUGAUUUCAGCAAGCAAGUCAUCUCUAUGAACACAGUAGGUAGAUUUACGUAGUCAGUAGUGAUGGGUAUUGGCCUUUUGUAUUGCCAUAAAUUGCAAUAAUGAUUCAUGUAUUGCGAUACAUACCACGAUAUAUUGCAUGCCUUCUUUCAUUUGUAAUUUGUAACAAAAUAAUAAAAAAGGUCACAUACAUCACACUUCCCCUGCAGUUUUUUGACAACUUUGUAGUAGUCCACCAUUUUGUUGGAUGUUACUCUGACCACAACACAAACGUAAUAGACAGAUCAUAUACAGGAGGCUGGUCGUGAAUAAAUUUGCUUCUUCGAUCACAGGAAUCAGAUGCUAAUUUCAUAAUUUCAACUGGAGUUGUCACUGAUGUACAUUUUGCCAACAAGAUGAAAAUAUGCAUGAUUUUGAAAAACCCAAUAUACACCAGUAUUUUCCAAACAUAUUGUCGGAAGUUUUCAUACGUAAUUCAAAUUGUGGUAUACUGGCAACACCUAUAGCCGUCAGACAGAGCAAGUAAGGUUUUGGGACAAUCCUUAAGAACUCUCCAGUAUAAUGUUAUAUGUUUACGGACCUACUGAUUGACAAGAGUGAUCUAACUGACGUGUCUGUGUGUCCACCUGCCCCCUGUGUCUGUACUUGGAAUCAUAUUGUUUAAAUGGCAUCAACGUGUUUUCACUCACCUCAAACUUUUGCAGAUCUUGCCGUAGAUCAUCUAUCUUUUGAGCAUUUUCUUCUAUUUUCUUAUCUAAGGUACUUGGAUCUCCUAGAGCCGGGUUGUUUGCAUAAACAUCUUUCAUCUUCAACAUGCCUUCCCUGUAACAGCAAGCCAUGGAUACAGUCAAACACUGUUGUGUUGAAGUUGAGAGACCUAUGUAAAUACUGAGGUUCCACACAACCCAAAAUGAUAAAUAAAGAAGGAACAUGCAGGGACAAUGCUUUAACUUCCAGACAACACUUCUUCCGACGCUGAUUGGGAGGCAGGUCACUGAAGUCUUCCUUUGGGUCAUCCACCUGAAGACAAUCAAACCAGUCAUAUCUCACUCUGAACUGGUCAAUAUCCAUGUAAACGCCCACCAUCAAGCAGACAUGUCACAAGUAUCUUUAACAAAUCGUUUCUAACAAAACAUUUUGUAUUUACCACAAAGCAUGUCAUUCACAUAACAAUACUCUACAUGAUCAUUAAGCAAAGCGAAAUAAGCUGCUAAAUUUGCAUUCUUUAUCUGUGGGAUCAUGCCAUGUUACACAAAAUUACUCAAUGUUAAUUUCAUGGCCGGUCACAAUUCAUAUACAAUGAUAUGGCUGUAUGUCACUGAAAUGACCGCACAUCAUCAUCAUCAUCAUCAUUCCUAAAGGACAACUGUAAUAAUGACAAUGCCACAACGAGGUCAAGGGGCCUCAUACUAGCAUCUACCACUGAUAACCCUCAACAUGCACGCAUGCAAUACCAAAGCAUACCACAGCAUGCAAUUUCUACCACUGCUGUUUAUAACCACCUAAAACCGUUUUGGUAUUCCACUUACUCAUGUGUAAGCACGAGACAGCGAUUAAGCUGUCUAUACUGUUUCAUUACAAAAUGUUAUCAGAUGAAAUACUUAAAUUAA
This is a long non-coding RNA of Haliotis rufescens (red abalone), 3792 nucleotides long. RefSeq lists it as uncharacterized. NCBI's taxonomy places the organism in Eukaryota, Metazoa, Mollusca, Gastropoda, Lepetellida, Haliotidae. The transcript has 5 exons. The record is from RefSeq and is a predicted model, not a curated record.